CCUACGGGAGGCAGCAGUGGGGAAUUUUGGACAAUGGGCGAAAGCCUGAUCCAGCAAUGCCGCGUGUGUGAAGAAGGCCUUCGGGUUGUAAAGCACUUUUGUCCGGAAAGAAAUGGCUCUGGUUAAUACCUGGGGUCGAUGACGGUACCGGAAGAAUAAGGACCGGCUAACUACGUGCCAGCAGCCGCGGUAAUACGUAGGGUCCAAGCGUUAAUCGGAAUUACUGGGCGUAAAGCGUGCGCAGGCGGUUGUGCAAGACCGAUGUGAAAUCCCCGAGCUUAACUUGGGAAUUGCAUUGGUGACUGCACGGCUAGAGUGUGUCAGAGGGGGGUAGAAUUCCACGUGUAGCAGUGAAAUGCGUAGAGAUGUGGAGGAAUACCGAUGGCGAAGGCAGCCCCCUGGGAUAACACUGACGCUCAUGCACGAAAGCGUGGGGAGCAAACAGGAUUAGAUACCCUGGUAGUCCACGCCCUAAACGAUGUCAACUAGUUGUUGGGGAUUCAUUUCCUUAGUAACGUAGCUAACGCGUGAAGUUGACCGCCUGGGGAGUACGGUCGCAAGAUUAAAACUCAAAUGAAUUGACGGGG
This 587-nucleotide ribosomal RNA is filed under the name uncultured bacterium. Its description in RNAcentral is "bacterial SSU rRNA". It matches the Rfam family "Bacterial small subunit ribosomal RNA", at positions 338 to 918 of the family's 1533-position model. The record is from RNAcentral.